GUCGAGCGGGUAGCCAGGGGAGCUUGCUCCCUGGGUGACGAGCGGCGGACGGGUGAGUAAUGUCUGGGAAACUGCCUGAUGGAGGGGGAUAACUACUGGAAACGGUAGCUAAUACCGCAUAACGUCGCAAGACCAAAGAGGGGGACCUUCGGGCCUCUUGCCAUCAGAUGUGCCCAGAUGGGAUUAGCUAGUAGGUGGGGUAAUGGCUCACCUAGGCGACGAUCCCUAGCUGGUCUGAGAGGAUGACCAGCCACACUGGAACUGAGACACGGUCCAGACUCCUACGGGAGGCAGCAGUGGGGAAUAUUGCACAAUGGGCGCAAGCCUGAUGCAGCCAUGCCGCGUGUGUGAAGAAGGCCUUCGGGUUGUAAAGCACUUUCAGCGAGGAGGAAGGUGGUGAACUUAAUACGCUCAUCAAUUGACGUUACUCGCAGAAGAAGCACCGGCUAACUCCGUGCCAGCAGC
RNAcentral lists this ribosomal RNA (465 nucleotides) under Serratia marcescens. Its description in RNAcentral is "bacterial SSU rRNA". It matches the Rfam family "Bacterial small subunit ribosomal RNA", at positions 61 to 515 of the family's 1533-position model. Lineage: Bacteria; Pseudomonadati; Pseudomonadota; Gammaproteobacteria; Enterobacterales; Yersiniaceae. The record is from RNAcentral.